ACAGAAGACGAAGAGCUGGAAUAGAGCUCGCCUCGGCUCUGCUGGCCUUGGCUGCAGCUCUUCCAGAAACCCGGGGCGCCCACAGAAGAAUCUCUUACCUGGCUCUCUCUUCAGGGAUGACAUCAUCGGCUCACACCAGUCUUCCAGGACCACCUUCUGGAUGCCAAGGCUGCUGCUCGAGUACCUGCUGUGCACCUCUACCUCCUGGUACCCCAGCCACUCCCUCAAGUUGCCUGCAUGUUAUAUGGCCUAGCCAAGGAGCACGGAUUCCAGGAACCCACUACCAUACAGAGCAACUCCUUGUGGACCCCCCUGGGAUCAGGACAGCGAGGGACAAGCGACAAAGAGGAUCAUCAGUGGCCAGCUAGUUUCUCUGGGGUUCAAACCUUGAACCAGUGCCCUAGUGAGGGGGCACUGGCCAUGGCCCUUGACCUUUGCUCUGCUUGUGUCUUGAGUCUGAGCCCUUUCCUGUACAUCUGUGCUCGUGUUCAUCUGCUAGUGAACUGGAGUGCUGCCCUCCCCGAGGAGGGUCGUCCCUUGUGACUGAUCAUGCUGUCCUAACAAUGUCCUGAGCAAAAGGGUCCCUUUGGGAACCUCUCAGGAGGGGGACCCGGGUCAGGGGCGACCAGCAUCUUGCUGGCAACUCCGUGGGUGGGGUGGGGUGGGGUGCUUCCUUCUGGAAUGAGCACGUGGCUGACCCCCCAAGGCAUGUCCCCUCCCCCUCCUCCACCCACCUUCUCGGAGAUGUCCCUUUUGGGGUAGUGGGGACAUUAGGAGCAACCUCCUAGGGUUGUUGUGAGAAUUAAAUGAACUGCAGCAGCCUGAGGCAGGGCUGGGCAGAGACCUCAGCACAUGUUUGUUGAAAGGUUUGCAGGUGGAUCUAGUCCUCCCGUUCAUGGCUCAUGUGUCUCAACCAUUCUCUCGCAGACUCCUGCAGCCCCUAUGCCCAGGGCUCUCCUUGCGCCAGCCCCGGCUUCUCGAGGCCUGUCUACACUCGCUGCUUUCCUUCCUCACCUCCAAUUUCCCCUCCAACCCACUGCUUCCUGACUCGCUCUUCUCCAUCGAACGGCUCUCGCUCAGGUUCCACGAGCUGCCCAUCUCCACAGAAGAGCAGCUGGCAUUGCCCACCGGCCAUGCCGGCUGAAGAAAAGAAGACUGAGGACCCCAGGAUGCCCAGCGCGAGGACCCCAGGAAGCCCAGCGCGAGGACUCCACCCACGACGCCCAGCGCGAGGACUUCACGCACAACACGUUGCAACCCUCCUGGAUUAGGCCAAAGCCAUCAUCUGGAAUCCUGCGUGGGACCCUGGACACACGGACACAGACACCUGCCCCCAGGACCCUCCAACUGUAAAUCGAUUGGAAGCGCCCUUGUGAGCUGGGGCCUUCAAAGGGCUGAGGAGAAAAUGCAGGCCGAGAGACCAGCUUCUCAAAUAGGCUUCAAGCCUCCAUGACCUGAGCUCACCCCCUGGAAAUGUCUGGAAAACAUAAUGGGCAGGUUUUCUGUCUUCAAAGUUUCCAUCAAAACCUCUUCAAGUUCUUUAUUGUUUAGGACUGAGACACUUGGGGACAGUAAUGGGGACUUUCUUUUGUAUCUGUCUUGAAAGGCCAAAAUAUUUUUAUAUUGCUGUAGACAAAGCCACCUAUUUACAAAUGGACUCUUGUUCCGUCGUUUCCCACCAGGAAGACCGUACUAUGUUUGUGUCUCUAUGUAUUCUGGGGUCUUGAAACAGGUUUCUCAUGGGGAUGGCCAUUCACUAGAGCCCAGAGGGGCAGAAGGGGAAGUGUCUACCCUGCCAAGGGGGUCUGGGGAAGGAGGGGGGCUAGUCUCAGAUUUGCUCCUUGUAUGUCUAGGGUAAACCCUGGGAGAAUCUGGUGGUAAAAGAACAUAUGCUGUGUUUGCCCCACA
RNAcentral lists this long non-coding RNA (1908 nucleotides) under Mus musculus (house mouse). RNAcentral's name for it is "maternally expressed 3". The stretch from base 564 to 665 matches the Rfam family "Maternally expressed 3 conserved region 2". The record is from RNAcentral. Lineage: Eukaryota; Metazoa; Chordata; Mammalia; Rodentia; Muridae.